AGUGAACGCUGGCGGUAGGCCUAACACAUGCAAGUCGAACGGCAGCACAGUAAGAGCUUGCUCUUACGGGUGGCGAGUGGCGGACGGGUGAGGAAUACAUCGGAAUCUACUUUUUCGUGGGGGAUAACGUAGGGAAACUUACGCUAAUACCGCAUACGACCUACGGGUGAAAGCAGGGGAUCUUCGGACCUUGCGCGAUUGAAUGAGCCGAUGUCGGAUUAGCUAGUUGGCGGGGUAAAGGCCCACCAAGGCGACGAUCCGUAGCUGGUCUGAGAGGAUGAUCAGCCACACUGGAACUGAGACACGGUCCAGACUCCUACGGGAGGCAGCAGUGCGGAAUAUUGGACACUGGGCGCAAGCCUGAUCCAGCCAUACCGCGUGGGUGAAGAAGGCCUUCGGGUUGUAAAGCCCUUUUGUUGGGAAAGAAAAGCAGCAGGUUAAUACCCCGCUGUUCUGACGGUACCCAAAGAAUAAGCACCGGCUAACUUCGUG
RNAcentral lists this ribosomal RNA (492 nucleotides) under uncultured bacterium. RNAcentral describes it as "partial 16S ribosomal RNA". It matches the Rfam family "Bacterial small subunit ribosomal RNA", at positions 29 to 507 of the family's 1533-position model. The record is from RNAcentral.